This is a non-coding RNA of Sus scrofa (pig), 2069 nucleotides long. NCBI's taxonomy places the organism in Eukaryota, Metazoa, Chordata, Mammalia, Artiodactyla, Suidae. The record is from RefSeq and is a predicted model, not a curated record.
CAGAAGUAGUACUAGUCACUAUUUCCUUAGCAUUCUUCAUUUAUCUUAUGUUUAUGCUGAAGUAGAGUAUUCGGGCAGUGUGUCUGCUAAAAAAAUGAAACAUCAGAAAGAAGUUUAUUUAUUUGUACUCUAAAUGGUUAUUGUUUUCAGGUUUCAGAAAAGCAGAUUGCUGCAAGUACAGUUAGCAAAAAGCAAAAUAGAGGAAUGCUUAAAGAAUAGCAAAAAGAGAUGGCACCAUUUAUGUUUCCCAUUUUCAAAAUAAAAAUUUCAAGACAUGAAUAAAGGAAAAUGGACAGUAUAUUACAGAGCGAAUUCAGUCUUGGUGAAAGCUGCUGGAUGAAUAGUUUUCACGCGGACCCAAGUAAGGGGGGUAUUUACGAGUCAAAAUGUUACUCAAUAAUUUGACAAAGAAACAUUACACACUAUACAUAUUAUCAUUUAUUUCAGGUGAAGGAAGGAAGGAAACCAUGGAAAUUUGAAUUUUUGGGAAAAAGACUAGAUGAAGAAAGGAUAAAUCCAUUAUCUGAAAUAAAGUGGAAAAAAUGUUGCCAGCAGAUGACAGUCUUGAUGGAGGACUCCAGGAUACAAGAUUCUUAUUCAAAGACCUGGAAAGAGAGAGGAAACACCUAAGGCUUGAGGCUCUAAGCUCAGACAGAAGGCGAGCAUGUUCUAGUCCUGUCAUCCUCCAACAAUGCAGCUGCAAUCAGAUCUACCCUGUCAGAGGGGAAAAGCAUUCUUCUAAAAUAUAUCAUCUGAGGCAAGUCAUAACCUCUCUCAUUCUUAGUUUGUCAACCAUUAAAAGAGGAAAAUAGCACAUACCCAGCAGAGCAUAGCUGUUAGGUUUGAAUGUGAAAUUAUGAGAAAAUUGUCUUGCACAAACUGGACAUAGAGUAGGUGGUCAAACAAUCUUUCCUGAAUCUAUGGCCAUGUACAAUAGAAACUGUAUGGGCAUAUUUCUUAAAUGUAGAAAAUAAGCUUUGAAUUUACAGGUUAUUUAGACUUAAAAUGUAUCUUGUUAGGACCAAAGAAAUACUGUUGAAAAUAUGUUGGGUCCAUCUCUGACGAUACAGGAGUAUAUCAACUGAGCCUUGGCAGGCUUGGAUUAAAGGUACUCAGAGGCUAGCCCAUGGAAUGAUUUGAGGUUCCCACCUGUAGAAAUGAAAAUGCAUAAAUGUCAUAACUCUUCUUGUGUGUUACUGGGCAGCCAACUCCUGUUCCAUACCUCACUCUGCCACCCGCUAUCUGAUGUGUUGUCACCUCCUCAAUUAUCUAAUCCUUUGCUUUGAUUCAUUCCCUUACAGUGUGUUUGUCCUCUUGUAAAAGCUACCUGUCUUGCACAGGGUUGGUUAUAGACCUCAUAUCAGAUUUCGAGGACUGCAAGAUUUGAUUCCUCCCUUCUCAGUAUUUUAUGGUGAUUUGACAUUGGUGAAAAAACAGGCAGACAUCAUUUUAUUACAGAUGUUGCUGUGCUGCAAUCGCUCUCUGAGGUUAAUACAGCAAACAAUUGUCUUUUUGUCUCAGCUGUGUUUCCACCUUUGAUAUAUGUUUUUGGUACCUAAGAUCACAAAAAAUCAGGCAAUAUUGUAAAGUGUAGAUACUAAGGCCAUCAAGGUUUUUAAUAAUUUUCUUUGUCCCUUAACUGUGUUGCAUCUACAAAUGGUACAUCUAUGAAAGUAAAUAAUUGAAGAUGAAAGAAAGAAGUUGCAGCCAAUAUUUUUUUUCUUUCAAAUCUAUCAAAUUAAGAAUUUUUUACCUUUAUAGUUGUUGGCGAUUUAUACUGCCAUCACAUUUACAUGUGCUCUGAUCCUUUCACCUCUUAUAGCAAUAGUCAAAAUUUAUAUCUUAGAUUUUGUCUGAAUUUUAAUUUGGCUUCCUUAUGUAUUCUUCGUUUAUACCCAUUGAAAAUGAAUAUUCCCUAUCGAGAAAGUUUCUGUCAUUGGAGAGAGAAAAUAGUAUUUUGGGGUACUUACAAUUUACUAGGUACUUUAUGCAAAUUAUUUUGAUUAAUCUUUAUGGCAAGAGUUUUGUUUCUAUUUAUAUGAGAUGUCUUUUUAAAAAGGCUUUAAUCC